RNAcentral lists this unclassified non-coding RNA (253 nucleotides) under uncultured Planctomycetota bacterium. RNAcentral describes it as "uncultured planctomycete contains 16S-23S intergenic spacer region". It matches the Rfam family "Bacterial small subunit ribosomal RNA", at positions 524 to 776 of the family's 1533-position model. Lineage: Bacteria; Pseudomonadati; Planctomycetota. The record is from RNAcentral.
UACAGAGGGUGCGAACGUUGUUCGGAAUCACUGGGCAUAAAGCGCGCGUAGGCGGCGACACAAGUGUGGAGUGGAAUCCCACGGCCCACCCGUGGAAAUGCUUUGCAAACUGUGUUGCUCGAGGAUGGUAGGGGAGAGCGGAACUCCUGGUGGAGCGGUGAAAUGCGUAGAUAUCAGGAGGAACACCGGUGGCGAAGGCGGCUCUCUGGUCCAUAUCUGACGCUGAGGUGCGAAAGCCAGGGUAGCGAACGGG